CCUACGGGUGGCUGCAGUGAGGAAUAUUGGUCAAUGGACGAGAGUCUGAACCAGCCAAGUAGCGUGAAGGAUGACUGCCCUAUGGGUUGUAAACUUCUUUUAUAUGGGAAUAAAACGUUCCACGUGUGGGAUUUUGUAUGUACCAUAUGAAUAAGGAUCGGCUAACUCCGUGCCAGCAGCCGCGGUACUACGGAGGAUCCGAGCGUUAUCCGGAUUUAUUGGGUUUAAAGGGAGCGUAGGUGGAUUGUUAAGUCAGGUGUGAAAGUUUGCGGCUCAACCGUAAAAUUGCAGUUGAAACUGGCAGUCUUGAGUACAGGAGAGGUGGGCGGAAUUCGUGGUGUAGCGGUGAAAUGCUUAGAUAGCACGAAGAACUCCGAUUGCGAAGGCAGUUCACUGGACUGCAACUGACACUGAGGCUCGAAAGUGUGGGUAUCAAACAGGAUUAGAUACCCCAGUAGUC
This 460-nucleotide ribosomal RNA is filed under the name uncultured bacterium. RNAcentral describes it as "partial 16S ribosomal RNA". It matches the Rfam family "Bacterial small subunit ribosomal RNA", at positions 338 to 795 of the family's 1533-position model. The record is from RNAcentral.